GAAUGUGUGUGGAAGAAGGAUCGUCUUAUACGGCGAGUAUAUAACAAACUCUAUAUUUUGAGUGGAAAUGUUGCGGGCUCGUCUUAUAUGCCCAGUCAUCUUAGACGCCGGCAAAUACGGUAUGUAUGUAUGUAUGU
Non-coding RNA from Pseudonaja textilis, 137 nucleotides. Lineage: Eukaryota; Metazoa; Chordata; Lepidosauria; Squamata; Elapidae. The record is from RefSeq and is a predicted model, not a curated record.